This 88-nucleotide transfer RNA is filed under the name Shewanella baltica. Its description in RNAcentral is "tRNA-OTHER". It matches the Rfam family "tRNA". From Rfam's summary of the family: Transfer RNA (tRNA) molecules are approximately 80 nucleotides in length. Their secondary structure includes four short double-helical elements and three loops (D, anti-codon, and T loops). Further hydrogen bonds mediate the characteristic L-shaped molecular structure. tRNAs have two regions of fundamental functional importance: the anti-codon, which is responsible for specific mRNA codon recognition, and the 3' end, to which the tRNAs corresponding amino acid is attached (by aminoacyl-tRNA synthetases). tRNAs cope with the degeneracy of the genetic code in two manners: having more than one tRNA (with a specific anti-codon) for a particular amino acid; and 'wobble' base-pairing, i.e. permitting non-standard base-pairing at the 3rd anti-codon position. The record is from RNAcentral. Lineage: Bacteria; Pseudomonadati; Pseudomonadota; Gammaproteobacteria; Alteromonadales; Shewanellaceae. RNAcentral also lists the same sequence under 2 other names.
GCGACAUUAGCUCAGUUGUGGUUUUGAUAUGGCGAUACCUUUUUUUUCAAGGUAUAGGUCAUCGGUUCGAACCCGAUAUGUCGCUCCA